AUUUUCAAGUUAAAGAUAGACACAGUAUACACCAGGAUCUAGAAGCUGGAUUUUAAACUCGUGACUCUCCCCAGAAUUUGAGAGAGUCCUUCUUGUGAUCUCUGUUGUAAUGAACCGUUUGGUUCAGGUUUGUUCUUUAUGUGAACGUGCUCAGCAUUCCUCUAUGUUCUGGAUGUACUGGAAAUAAAAGGAUUUAAGAGAUCAUGGUGUACAUCCCCUAGGAAUGCCCAUCUGCUGCCUUUUCACCUUUUAUUUAAAUGUAUAGAUCUUUCUUCAAUCAACCACAUAGAAUAUUGGCUCUUCUAGCAGCUAUCAGAAGAUUUAAUCUUGAAUUGACUUGAAUAGGAGUGUGUGAAGACAUCUUCUCCAAGUUCUCUAAUAAGUGAGAUUUACCUGCCCCUGGAUGAAACCCUUGGAAAGUCUUUAAAUGCCAGAGUCGACUGCCAUUUCAAAGAAAAGAAAAUAGAUGGUUUUGGAAAGUUCAUGCUAUUUCUUCAUUGAAUUUUAG
This 508-nucleotide long non-coding RNA is filed under the name Sus scrofa (pig). RNAcentral describes it as "lncRNA (ENSSSCG00040061095.1)". Lineage: Eukaryota; Metazoa; Chordata; Mammalia; Artiodactyla; Suidae. The record is from RNAcentral.